AUUGAAGAGGUGCGAAUUUCAGGCAACUCAUGUGAAGAUUAUUGGAUCUUGCGAGCAUGAGUCAUGGGAAAUUUGCCGAAACGGAGAUCUACCAAAACAGAUUUCUUCGUUGGUUGCUAGGGCCGAAUCCCUAGGACUGUCACAGGCAAUGUGGAGCACUUCGAG
RNAcentral lists this non-coding RNA (165 nucleotides) under Halobacteriovorax marinus. Its description in RNAcentral is "Lysine riboswitch". It matches the Rfam family "Lysine riboswitch aptamer". Rfam says of the family: Riboswitches are metabolite binding domains within certain messenger RNAs that serve as precision sensors for their corresponding targets. Allosteric rearrangement of mRNA structure is mediated by ligand binding, and this results in modulation of gene expression. Lineage: Bacteria; Pseudomonadati; Bdellovibrionota; Bacteriovoracia; Bacteriovoracales; Halobacteriovoraceae. The record is from RNAcentral.